Molecule: non-coding RNA, 5651 nt
Organism: Heterocephalus glaber (naked mole-rat)
Lineage: Eukaryota; Metazoa; Chordata; Mammalia; Rodentia; Bathyergidae
Source: RefSeq, a predicted model, not a curated record
GGGCCCCUGCCAGGGCGACCCCUGCCUGGCUCCUAGUCUGGGGGUGGGUGGGCAAGAGGGAGUUUUCGACCUCUUUCCCUUUCGCAGACGCACCGAGAGACCCCCCUGGUCCCCGCAGAUCCUGGAGAUCUGACUUAGAGGCGAAGUGGGGAGAGGGGUUUGGAGACUUUUGAGAAGAGCCACCCAACCCUCGCGGAAAGUCCGGCAGCCACUGAAGGGCCAGAGACCCGUGCGGGUGGCUAGGGUGGGGAGGAGACGGAGAGCAGGUUGAGUCUUCCGCUAGAGGCUUCACCUGGGUUUGCGAAGGCUGGCGCCAGGAACCCCUUUCCAGGCCCCCUGAGCCCGGAUCCGAGGCAGCCCCGCAGAUGCCGGUAGGCAAACUCAGGUUCCUGUGCCCUAGGUGGGCAGAAAGAAGCAGGCUGGAAAAUCAACUUUCCUUCUAAAUUACACACACACACACACGCACACACACGCACUCCCUGGGUUGUUAAUGCAGAGGUGUUAGUUCUGGAGCAAGAAUUAGAUGCAGGUGUGUCCAGAAAGAGUGCACCCUCCGCCCUCAUGUAUACAAACACAUUAACCUUUCCCCUGGCCAGACGAAGACUGUGAAGUAUUUCUAAAAAAUUGGGUGUCCUCGUUACCAAGAGCUGUGGCUUGAUGUUUAUUUCGUCCCUGAAAGUUGGCAAAGGGACAAACCUUUACGGGGUUGCACACAAAAUGUGCUUUUGCCCAUUUGGGUAUUUAACAGGGGAGCUGAUGUUCUGGUGGAUGGGUUUUGAUGAGGAGAUAAGGGCAGCUUCCCAUUUUGGCAGUGGAGGAAUGUUCACCAUAUUUGGAUUUGCUUCACUUCUUGGACACAGAUUCCCAAAGCUCAUGUGAACGUUGGUGAUGGUUCAGAGAGAAAAUUGCAGGCCUCACCCACAGCCUUGACAGCGUAGUUUCUUGGAAUCAAGAGUCAACACUGGGCUAUUUCCAAAGAUUAAAUCUUGAAAGCUCGGUGGGAGGCUGUAGCAGGAGGGCAGAGAUGUCCACACACUCAGAUAUGAAAAAUGGUCUUCCACUAGGAAGUCUUCCUCUUCAGCUAAGGCCCUGGAAGUAGUGAAGAGAAAGGGGCCCUUUCUGACCAUGCUCACAGGGAUGGAUUAAACAGGCCCUAUUUUUGCAAGAAAUGGAGCUGCACAGGGUGGCCAGCUCAUCAUCAGCUGCUCAUGUCACCCUGUUGGGGGCUGUCACCUGUAUGUGGGUCAGGCCCAGCCCAGGGCACGCAGAGUGGAAGCUGCAAUGCUGCCCUCCUUCACUCGCCAAGCAGUAUGUAUUGGGUGUCACCAUGGCCACCUAGACUAUCUGACUCCUCCUUCUAAUCUGCACCAAGGUGCCUUGUAUGGGCAAUGCCAGUACUGACUGUCCCACCCUGUUCCCCAUGCCUGUCCAGAGUUACUGUCCUGACUUUGGGUGAAUUAACAAUGCUCAUGAACUAAUUAUGUUUAAUGUAAAAGAUGAGCUAUUUUAUCUCAAUUUUAGAUAAUUUUAUAGAUGAACAUAAAAAUAUUACCAUUUAUGUGAAGUAUGCAUGUAUAUAUAAAAGUGUGUGUAUAUAUAGAUAUAUAGAUAGUUGGAUAUACAUUUUUAUGUAUCAGAAGUUAGGACAACUUUAAAAAAUAAAAGAAGUCAAGAUGAUUUAAAUUUGGUAACUUUAAAAUAAAAAAAGCUGUUCUGCAGUUUGGAAUCAGUUUUAUAUAUGGAUUUCUGGGCUUCACAGAAAUAUGUACUAUUUGAUUCCAUUUCAGCAGAUAGCCAUGAAGUGCCAGUCACUGUACUAAACAAUAUGUAUAGAGUAAAGAAAAAUGAUGCAAACACCCUGUGUCUACCUAGUAAUCUAGUAAGGCAGGCAAAUGAUAAGGUCCCAAAUAGAUUUGCAGCUGUAAAUUAUGAUGAGAACUAUGAGAGAAAUGCUAAGAUGGAGAAUAACAAAGCAGAUCUAUUUCAGAUUAUGUGACUGGUAAAAUCCUCAAGUGAAACCCGAGGAGUGAGUUGGAAGGAGUUUAUGAAGUGAGUCCAUUCUGCCAUUUAAAGUAUAGAAGCAUUUGAGUUCAGAAUAAAAUUUGAUGUGUUUAAGAGAAAGUAUAAAAUAAAGCCGAUAACAAAGAAAAGAGAGGCCAGUGGCCAAAUCCAUAGUGUUUUAGUUUGUAAACUGCAAGUAACUAAUGAUGUUACACCUGUGUAUUUGCCAUUUGCUUUUGCAAGUGUCCUUUCUUCUUUCCUCCCUCAUCCUCAUCCAUCUUUGUCUCUUCCUUUAAAUCCUGGCUCAACGCUCAGUCUUUUCUAGGAAUUUUUCUAGUUGGAACACCCCUUCAGCCAUGGUUCUUCAUUUGCUGAGUAUGUGUGUACUAUGUUUAUUUUCCUAUGUGUUUUGUUGAUAACAUCAGCCUUCACUCUCAUAUGUGUGAGUUGAGUAUCCAUGGAAUUGUAAAUGCAGGGGAUCACAAGGGCAGGAAUUACAUUUCCUUCUCUGGUCUGGCUAAGUCUAGUUGAGUCUCACUGUAUGGUGGCCAACCUCUCAAUAAAUGCUGGUACCUGGGUGAUCUUGUUUGACUUGACGUUUUUUAAAGGUUUAAAGAGGAAGAAAUACAUAUAUUAUAAAAACCUUUCAUUGUUAAGCAGAUGGGAACACCCAGUGCACCAUCCCGAAGGGAGUUCAGGAGACCUUCGCACUGCAGUGUGAUACCAUGGAGCUUGAAGGGCAGCCGACAAACUCAAAGAAUAAAUAUACAUCUUUUAAAAAUUAAAGAUUGGUUGUAGUUUUAGCCUACCCACACAUACCAGCUGCUGAUAGGAGUUUAUCCAUAGUUCUUCAGUCUUUCUUUCCAAAGUCAGCACUUGCUGUGUGCCAGAACCUGCUCUGGGUGCUGGGGAUAGAGCGGUGAACAAAACUUCUCUCAUGGAACUAGUUUUCCUGGAGGGGCGAGAGAAUAAGUUGUUACUGAGUGUGGCUGAUAGCAGUUAGUGCUGUCAGAAGAGGAAUCUUAGGGAAAGGUACAGGGGUUGGGAGAAAUACAGUAGUACCUCAGUACUUAUUUAUUCUAGGAAUGCAAUGAGCACCAAAAAUGACAAGAACCAAGCACAUUGUUUUGGCUGGAAAGGGUAAUGAGUCACAUGGCAUAUGACACUGACAAGUUCUAGCUUGCAAGGCAAGUAUCAAUCAAAACUAGGACAGAAAGGGGCCAGGGAUUUAGCUCAGUGGCUCUGGUGCCUCCCUUGCAAGUGUAAGGUCCCAAGUUCGAUCUCUGGUACAAAAAAAACCCAAACAAACUAGGACAGAAGUUUUGUGUCAAAAUGCGUCCAGUACCAAAUUCCAUGAGUCUUAAAGCAAUCAUUUAUAAACAUUGCCAAGAAAGGUGUCUACUGAGUAGACAUUUGGGCAUACAUGAAGCAAGCGAGCAGGCAGAUAUCUGUAAGCACAGGGAGCAGCAAGUCAGGCUAAGAAGAAAGCAUGCUUGGUAUGUUCAAGGAUUAGCAAAGAGACACACAUGGCUGGAACAGGAUGGGUGACCAAGAAAAUGCCAAGAAUGAGGGCAGAGAAGUAGCCAGGGCUCAGAUUGUGUAGGAUCUUGAAAGGUAUACUAUGGACUUGAGCUUUCACUCUGACUGAGAUUGUUUUCAGUUAGGGGUCCUCUGGCUGACCUAUAAACUGUUAACUAUUGUCACAGGGUGAAUUAAAUGGAAGGAAUUGGUUAAAUGGGUAACAAGAAUCACAGGAAGCUGCUCCCAUCCCUAACUUCUGGGGAGCCAGAAAAAUUGAAGAUGGUACAAGCGGAAGCUUCUGGGGAGCCCCUGAGGACCUGUGGAGACACUUGCUGUCCAGUUGCUUCUGGUCCCUGAGGUGCUGAUGUGGAGUUAAUGGUAGGAGGCCUGAGAAAGCUGGGUGCUAGAACCAUGUGAUGUACCUCGAGGGGAAGCAUCCCUUCCUGAGGGUGGCCUAACAAAUACCACAGAACUAGAUGGUUGAAAACAACAGAAAUCCACUGUCUUAUAGGUGUGGAGGUUAAAAAUCUCAAAUUAGGUGAUUUUUUUUUUUUUUUUUUUUUUUUCCUGAGGGAUAGAAGGGAGACUGUCUGGGCCUUCUAGCUUCUAGUAGCCUCCACCAUUGAUAUGUAGGUAGGGUUCUCUCCACUUCUCCCAUGGAUGUGUCUGCCUUCAUGUGCAAAUUUACCUUGUUGAAAGGACAACAGCCGGAUUAGGAUGCAGCCUAAUGACUUCCUCUUAAUUAGCUGCAAAGCCCCUAUUCCCAAAUAAGGUUAAAUCCACAGAUAUUGGCAAUUAGGACGUCAGCAUCAUCCAUAACACAAGACAAGAGGUUAGAAAGGAACACAUGCUAAGGUAAGGGGAAAAAGCAGGUCACUUCUCUCUUCUUUUUGCCUUCUAGCUUUUUUAUACUAUUUUCUUAAGCUAGGCAUUUCUUUCUUAGUACUGCUUUAGCUAUAUCUCACAGAUUUUGAAAUGUUUUCUCUUCAUUUUCAUUCAGUUGACAUACUUUCUAACUCCCUCUCGAGUUCUUCUUUGACCCAUAGGUUAUUGAGAGCUCUUACUUAGCUUCCAAAUAACUGGGGACUUUUUCUGAACACUUUCUGUCAUUGACUCUAACCCAAUUCCAUUGUAAUUAGGGUGUUGUCUUAGUAUCAACAGAGCUCUGGAGACUGGAGAACCUACCUAAGAUGUGGGGCUGGACUUCCAAAAGAGGCUAUCUUGGUAUUGGCAGGUGACAGUGCCUGCACCUGUAGCCAGCCACAGUACUAUCAGUUUUGAAUACAUUUUCCUUCGAUGGAAUUGGAGGGUGAGCUAAUGGGACCAGAGUGUGUGCAGAAAUAUCACCAAAUCGCAAAAUAAUGGAAAACAGUCUACAUCACGAAUUACCCCAUAAACAGAAUGAUCACAGAUCCUUUGUGUUAUGAAAGCCCCACGUGUGCAUUUCUCUAAAUGAAAGUCUCCUGAACUUAAACCCAUGGACAUUUUAAAGAAAAUGCAGUAAGCCAAUGCUUCCUUGGCUAAAAACGUGUCUGUGCUCUGCAAACAAUGAACAGAACCCAGGAAGGGAGAUGCAGACCGCCUGCUGAGCCAGUCCUAGUUCUCUUCCCUGGAAAUCUUGUCCUUGCACAGAACUUCUGGAAACCAAUAAAAGAAAACUAAUGUGCUACCCAGAGCAGAGAAAAUGGAAAUCUGCUGAGUUAAUAUUGUGGGUCAUAAAAGUCACUCAAAGAGAAUUCUUUCAAUAAGGUGCCUACCAUAGUGGUUAUAUAAUUCUUCCAUGAAACUUACUUUUCUCUUUCUGAAAAGAAGUUUUGUUUUUUCUCUCAAAGAAUAAUGGUACUGCUUAACAUCCCCAGAACACAAUGUGAAUGAGCUUUUAAAAUUUUAUUCUAAUUACAAGAGAAAUAUAUUCUGAGUAUAGAAGAUGAGGAACAUAGAGAAAACCCUGAAGGAAUCAAACAACCCUAUUGUGAGAUAAAACUCAGGUAACAUUUUGGGAUAUUUAACAAUGUCUAUUGCCUUGACGCCAAAAAGUCGGCAUUAUUGUCGAACAUUAUUAUUAUUAAAGUUUGGAUGUAUUUCAUUUGAAUGAUGGCUAUAAAUAAAUUUUAAGCAGAAAGCAAAAA